AUGUCCAAGGUCGAUAUGGAAAGUCUUUCAGCGGUUUUCCCUCACUUUCGUGUCAACAAACAAUUCGAAAUACCUCAAAUUUUUCAGAACAUGUCCGAGUCAAAUAGCAAUGAUUCGAAGCGCUUCUUUUACCAGUAUUCGUAG
RNAcentral lists this ribosomal RNA (144 nucleotides) under Triticum aestivum (bread wheat). Its description in RNAcentral is "partial small subunit ribosomal RNA". The record is from RNAcentral. Lineage: Eukaryota; Viridiplantae; Streptophyta; Magnoliopsida; Poales; Poaceae.